AUAUUAGUUGUUUGUCCUCUGCCCUCUAUUAUAUUGUUAAUUGUUUGCACUUUGCACUUUGCAGUCAUGGCAGAUGCAGGAGCUGAUGGGGGUGGUGAUGCUUAUGAUCCAAUGAAAGAUCCAGAACGCAGGCCACGGAGGUCAAAUAGCUGGAAUUAUGGGUAUUGGUUAAAACCUGGCAACAUCAAUAAUGUUGUGUGCAAUCUUUGUGGCAAGAUAACUGGAGGGAUCAAGAGACACAAAGAGCAUCUUGCUGGCACUGGUGGGGAUGCAACAGGUUGUCCAAAGGCUACCACACAACUUAGGAGGGAGAUGUUACAAUAUUUGGAAAAGAACAGGAGAAACAUAGGACAACCUGAUGAUGAUGAUGAUGUAGUGGAGGUAGAUGUAGCAGCAGCAGUUCAACUAGUUCAAGGCUCCGCUACAAGACCAAGUUCAGGGACAACAGCCAAGAAGAACAAGAAAGCCUUUGCGGUAAAAAUUUCAGGCAAAAAGUGUUAA
Molecule: ribosomal RNA, 501 nt
Filed under: Triticum aestivum (bread wheat)
Lineage: Eukaryota; Viridiplantae; Streptophyta; Magnoliopsida; Poales; Poaceae
Description: partial small subunit ribosomal RNA
Source: RNAcentral